RNAcentral lists this long non-coding RNA (1002 nucleotides) under Ficedula albicollis (Collared flycatcher). Its description in RNAcentral is "lncRNA (ENSFALG00000026490.1)". Lineage: Eukaryota; Metazoa; Chordata; Aves; Passeriformes; Muscicapidae. The record is from RNAcentral.
AUGCUUUGGUUUGAGAGAGCAAGGUCCUUUUUGCUGCUGCCACUGCCUGCCACAGCCCCAACGUCCUCCUGGGGCCGGUCCUCCAGUUCAUCCUCCAACUCGUUUGGAAAUAGUCCUUUGCAACCCUCAUCAUCCUCAUCUUCUUCCUCUUCCUCCUCCUCCUCUUCCUCCUCCUCCUCUUCCACAUCCUCCUCCUCCUCCUCUUCCACCUCCUCGGCCGGCUCCACCUUUUCCGAGAGGCUGUCCUGGUCGUCCCCCUCUUGUUUCUCCCCCCCUGCCACCCCAGGGUCCUUCCCCUCCGAGGAUUUGGUGGGACUGGAAGCCAGCGGGCCCAGGGGGACUGAGGUAAUGGGAGUCUUCAGAGCUGAGCUGGUCAGCCCACCCAGGUUGAGGAGUGCACUGGGGGCCAGGACACCCGCUGCCGGCGGCGGCUCGGCUCCACCCCCCCCCCCCCCCCCCCCCCCCCCCCCCCCCCCCCCCCCCCCCCGGCGGCUCGGCUCCACCGGCCGCCCCGGCCUGGAGGGCCUGCUCGCCUUCCAUGCAAAUGCCACUGAAUUUACCAUAAAAACUGUGUCCAGGGCCUAUGAGGUUAGCUGCGGAAACGAGAGGGUGCUGAAAGGUUUUGUUUUUUGGUUCCAGAAAGCUGACAAGGGGUUCCUUGUCUUUGCCUAUCCCUUGGAUGAUAGCGGAGAUGUUCUUAUUGCUAAGAAUUUUCCGCUCCUCCUCACUCAGAGUCAUUCGGUGGUCGUGCACGGCAUGGGUCACGAACGAGCGGACAUACCCAAAGGAGAGCUUGCACAAGAAACACAUCAGGAUGGGCUUCCUCUUCCCAUAGAGCACAAAGCCAUCGAAUUUGGACAGGUCCACAUUGUUGGGAACAUCUUUGGAUACGCAGGAGCUUUUGGCAGAACCGUCGCUGUUCAGGUAAUCCUUGUUGCUUUUGUGUCGCACAUCGAAGACGCGGAAGCUGUGCAGGACGGGGCUGAUGCCCGCCAGGGCUGA